UCUGACGGUAAAGAAUCUGCCUGUCAUGCAGGGGACCCAGGUUCGAUCCCUGG
This 53-nucleotide transfer RNA is filed under the name Capra hircus (goat). RNAcentral also lists the same sequence under 1 other name. The record is from Rfam by way of RNAcentral. Lineage: Eukaryota; Metazoa; Chordata; Mammalia; Artiodactyla; Bovidae.